RNAcentral lists this ribosomal RNA (293 nucleotides) under uncultured bacterium. RNAcentral's name for it is "partial 16S ribosomal RNA". It matches the Rfam family "Archaeal small subunit ribosomal RNA", at positions 455 to 747 of the family's 1478-position model. The record is from RNAcentral.
GUGCCAGCAGCCGCGGUAAUACCGGCAGCCCGAGUGAUGGCCGAUCUUAUUGGGCCUAAAGCGUCCGUAGCUGGCUGCGCAAGUCCAUCGGAAAAUCCACCCGCCCAACGGGUGGGCGUCCGGUGGAAACUGCGUGGCUUGGGACCGGAAGGCGCGACGGGUACGUCCGGGGUAGGAGUGAAAUCCCGUAAUCCUGGACGGACCGCCGAUGGCGAAAGCACCUCGGGAAGACGGACCCGACAGUGAGGGACGAAAGCUGGGAUCUCGAACCGGAUUAGAAACCCUUGUAGUCC